UACAGAGGGGGCAAGCGUUGUUCGGAAUUACUGGGCGUAAAGGGCGCGUAGGCGGCCUUCUAAGUCGAACGUGAAAUCCCCGGGCUCACCCCGGGACCUGCAUCCCAAACUGCUGAGCUUGAGUACAGGAGAGGGUGGGGGAAUUCCAGGUGUAGCGGUGAAAUGCGUAGAUAUCUGGAGGAACACCGGUGGCGAAGGCGCCCACCUGGCCUGCUACUGACGCUGAAGCUCGAAAGCUAGGGGAGCAAACGGG
This 253-nucleotide ribosomal RNA is filed under the name uncultured bacterium. RNAcentral describes it as "partial 16S ribosomal RNA". It matches the Rfam family "Bacterial small subunit ribosomal RNA", at positions 524 to 776 of the family's 1533-position model. The record is from RNAcentral.